GGAAUUGUGGAUCAGUGGUAGAGCACUUGCCUGGUAUGUAUGAGGCACUGGGUUCAAUUCUCAGCACCA
Molecule: transfer RNA, 69 nt
Filed under: Ictidomys tridecemlineatus (thirteen-lined ground squirrel)
Lineage: Eukaryota; Metazoa; Chordata; Mammalia; Rodentia; Sciuridae
Description: Spermophilus tridecemlineatus (thirteen-lined ground squirrel) tRNA
Rfam family: tRNA
About the family: Transfer RNA (tRNA) molecules are approximately 80 nucleotides in length. Their secondary structure includes four short double-helical elements and three loops (D, anti-codon, and T loops).
Source: Rfam by way of RNAcentral